RNAcentral lists this unclassified non-coding RNA (206 nucleotides) under Hevea brasiliensis (rubber tree). Lineage: Eukaryota; Viridiplantae; Streptophyta; Magnoliopsida; Malpighiales; Euphorbiaceae. The record is from RNAcentral.
GGUUGCUGUUGUCGGAGCUCGCAAAACUAUUGGAGAAGAGCUCCCUCCAUGCUAUUCCAAACAAAAUAAAUUUUAACAUCCUCGGUGGUUUUAUGGGUGUCAAAGUAUUUCUCAGCCUGGACAAUCCAUCCCUUUGGGUCCACUCCUUUGAAUGUGGGAAUCUCGACCUUCGAUAUUGUUAAUGGAGUUUCAUUACAGAGCAAAGC